This 776-nucleotide ribosomal RNA is filed under the name uncultured Neocallimastigales. RNAcentral's name for it is "partial large subunit ribosomal RNA". It matches the Rfam family "Eukaryotic large subunit ribosomal RNA", at positions 23 to 649 of the family's 3401-position model. Lineage: Eukaryota; Fungi; Neocallimastigomycota; Neocallimastigomycetes; Neocallimastigales. The record is from RNAcentral.
ACACGCAUGACACACUGCAUAUCAAUAAGCGGAGGAAAAGAAACUAACAAGGAUUCCCUUAGUAACGGCGAGUGAAGCGGGAAGAGCUCAAAUUUGAAAUCUUCAAGGUUCUACCUUGACGAAUUGUAGUUUAUAGAAGUGUUUUCUGUUAGUAGAGUGGCAAAAGUUCUUUGGAAUAGGACAUCAUAGAGGGUGAGAAUCCCGUAUUUGGUCAUUCUUUCUAGCUUUGUGAUACACUUUCAACGAGUCGGAUUGUUUGGGAAUGCAGUCCAAAAUGGGUGGUAAAUUUCAUCUAAAGCUAAAUAUUGGCGAGAGACCGAUAGCGAACAAGUACCGUGAGGGAAAGAUGAAAAGAACUUUGAAAAGAGAGUUAAACAGUACGUGAAAUUGUCAAAAGGGAAGCGUUUGACACCUAGUGUUGUUUUUCCGAAAAUCAAUUACGAAUGUUUUGUUUUUGAGGAGUUAUGACUUCAUCGGCUUGCUCCUUUCUUUAUCGAAACUUUCUUAAUGCACUUUUCGGUUAACAAGUCAACAUCAAUUUCUUUUGUUGUAAAAGAGUAUGAGGAAGGUGGCUUUCUUUUCGGAGAAAGUGUUUAUAGCCUUGUACUUCUGCAAUCGGAGAGAUUGAGGUCUGCAGCGUAGAUCCUUCGGGGUUAGAUACACUUGUGCUAAGUUAUAGCUUUUCAUAGACAACUUGUUGACUAUGUUUAGUCUUGUGGCUUACCCGCUUAUGCUAUUUUACCUACGCUUAGGAUGUUGAGUAGCGACAUACGCAC